CUUCCAAACUGCUGGGAUUACAGGCGUGAGCCACCACACCCAGCCUAGAUAUGCACAUAUUAAUAGAAGUAGAUAUUUAUAUUCAGCAUCAAAAUUAUUCCCCUGAAAAGGUGAAGAAUGAGAAAAUGUUUACAUUUCCCUUGUUCUUUGUCACUUAUAUUACCUGAGAUUUGAAAUUUUAUAUGCAGAAUUUUACUUUUAUAUUUCGUUAUUAUUUCAACCUAAUGUCAUGUUUAGCUUCAUUGUUUGCUGGCUGUUAUUGUUAUACUCCUUCCCCGACCAUGCUUUUAGUAAUAUUUUUGGAAGGAUCACUGUGGGUCUUUUCCCCUUUCUUUUAGAAAGCAUUUUGACUGGAAACUGGAGAUCAGACUAUUCUUUGUUAAAUCAGAAGAACUGUUCAACUAACUGUCCUUUUAUCAUCAAUGUUUAGUACUUUUCCCGGCACUAGAGGUUCCCUAGCAAAUGUUUAUUGAAAGGAUUAUUCGAUGUUUCUGGAAGACCAGAUGUUGAACUACCAGGAUGUGUCAAAUGAAUGCCAUACUUAGGAUCUUCCCAAGUGGAGCUCUGACUUUUGAAAGACACGCACACAGAAAAGAACAACAACAAGACAAUAGCAAUAAUGUGAAGUAAUGUACGUGUUAAUUAGCUUGAUUAUGAACAUGAUAACACAUGUAGAGCAGAGCACUGUGUACCAGUUACUAAUGCCAGAAGAGGACUCUCACAAUAUGGAGGAUAAUGAAGAUCAUCACAAUACCAGCCACCAG
Non-coding RNA from Chlorocebus sabaeus (green monkey), 764 nucleotides. NCBI's taxonomy places the organism in Eukaryota, Metazoa, Chordata, Mammalia, Primates, Cercopithecidae. The record is from RefSeq and is a predicted model, not a curated record.